This 253-nucleotide ribosomal RNA is filed under the name uncultured bacterium. RNAcentral describes it as "partial 16S ribosomal RNA". It matches the Rfam family "Bacterial small subunit ribosomal RNA", at positions 524 to 776 of the family's 1533-position model. The record is from RNAcentral.
UACAGAGGGUGCAAGCGUUAAUCGGAAUUACUGGGCGUAAAGCGUGCGUAGGCGGUUGUUUAAGUUGGAUGUGAAAUCCCCGGGCUUAACCUGGGAACUGCAUUCAAGACUGGAUAACUAGAGUCUGGGAGAGGGUGGUGGAAUUUCCGGUGUAGCGGUGAAAUGCGUAGAUAUCGGAAGGAACAUCAGUGGCGAAGGCGACUGCCUGGCCCAAGACUGACGCUGAGGCACGAAAGCGUGGGUAGCAAACAGG